AUUGAACGCUGGCGGCAUGCUUUACACAUGCAAGUCGAACGGUAACAGUACUUCGGUGGCUCUCGAGUGGCGAAGGGGUGAGUAUUACAUCGGAACGUGGCUAGUAGUGGGGGAUAUCUACUCGAAAGAGUAGCUAAUACCGCAUGAGCUCUAAGGAUGAAAGCAUGGGACCUCCGGGCCUUGCGAUACUAUACCGGAUGAUCGCAGCUUAGGUAGUUGGUUGGUUUAUGGCUUACCAAGCCUACGAUCUGUAGCUCGUCUGCGAGGACGACCAGCCACACUGGGACUGAGACACGGCCCAGACUCCUACGGGAGGCAGCAGUGGGGAAUUUUGGACAAUGGGCGAAGUCCUGAUCCAGCAAUGCCGCGUGCAUGAUGAAGGCCUUCGGGUUGUAAACUGCUUUUGUACGGAACGAAAAGCCCUCUUCUAAUACAGGGGGGUCAUGACGGUACCGUAAGAAUAAGCACCGGCUAACUACGUG
RNAcentral lists this ribosomal RNA (482 nucleotides) under uncultured bacterium. RNAcentral describes it as "partial 16S ribosomal RNA". It matches the Rfam family "Bacterial small subunit ribosomal RNA", at positions 30 to 507 of the family's 1533-position model. The record is from RNAcentral.